AGAGUUUGAUCCUGGCUCACGACGAACGCUGGCGGCGCGCCUAACACAUGCAAGUCGAACGAGCGAGAGAGAGCUUGCUUUCUCGAGCGAGUGGCGAACGGGUGAGUAACGCGUGAGGAGCCUGCCUCAAAGAGGGGGACAACAGUUGGAAACGACUGCUAAUACCGCAUAAGCCCACGGCUCGGCAUCGAGCAGAGGGAAAAGGAGCAAUCCGCUUUGAGAUGGCCUCGCGUCCGAUUAGCUGGUUGGUGAGGUAAUGGCCCACCAAGGCGACGAUCGGUAGCCGGACUGAGAGGUUGAACGGCCACAUUGGGACUGAGACACGGCCCAGACUCCUACGGGAGGCAGCAGUGGGGAAUAUUGCACAAUGGGGGAAACCCUGAUGCAGCGACGCCGCGUGGAGGAAGAAGGUCUUCGGAUUGUAAACUCCUGUUGUUGAGGAAGAUAAUGACGGUACUCAACAAGGAAGUGACGGCUAACUACGUGCCAGCAGCCGCGGUAAAACGUAGGUCACAAGCGUUGUCCGGAAUUACUGGGUGUAAAGGGAGCGCAGGCGGGAAGACAAGUUGGAAGUGAAAUCUAUGGGCUCAACCCAUAAACUGCUUUCAAAACUGUUUUUCUUGAGUAGUGCAGAGGUAGGCGGAAUUCCCGGUGUAGCGGUGGAAUGCGUAGAUAUCGGGAGGAACACCAGUGGCGAAGGCGGCCUACUGGGCACCAACUGACGCUGAGGCUCGAAAGUGUGGGUAGCAAACAGGAUUAGAUACCCUGGUAGUCCACACCGUAAACGAUGAUUACUAGGUGUUGGAGGAUUGACCCCUUCAGUGCCGCAGUUAACACAAUAAGUAAUCCACCUGGGGAGUACGACCGCAAGGUUGAAACUCAAAGGAAUUGACGGGGGCCCGCACAAGCAGUGGAGUAUGUGGUUUAAUUCGACGCAACGCGAAGAACCUUACCAAGUCUUGACAUCCCUUGACGAACAUAGAAAUAUGUUUUCUCUUCGGAGCAAGGAGACAGGUGGUGCAUGGUUGUCGUCAGCUCGUGUCGUGAGAUGUUGGGUUAAGUCCCGCAACGAGCGCAACCCUUACUGUCAGUUACUACGCAAGAGGACUCUGGCAGGACUGCCGUUGACAAAACGGAGGAAGGUGGGGAUGACGUCAAAUCAUCAUGCCCUUUAUGACUUGGGCUACACACGUACUACAAUGGCGUUAAACAAAGAGAAGCAAGACCGCGAGGUGGAGCAAAACUCAGAAACAACGUCCCAGUUCGGACUGCAGGCUGCAACUCGCCUGCACGAAGUCGGAAUUGCUAGUAAUCGUGGAUCAGCAUGCCACGGUGAAUACGUUCCCGGGCCUUGUACACACCGCCCGUC
This 1369-nucleotide ribosomal RNA is filed under the name uncultured bacterium. RNAcentral's name for it is "bacterial SSU rRNA". It matches the Rfam family "Bacterial small subunit ribosomal RNA". The record is from RNAcentral.